UACAGAGACCUCAAGCGUUAUCCGGAUUUAUUGGGCGUAAAGGGUCCGUAGGUGGCUUUUUAAGUCAUUCGUUAAAUCUUCAGGCUCAACCUGAAGGCCGCGGGUGAUACUGGAAGGCUAGAGGGUGGGAGAGGCAGAUGGAAUUGCUGGUGUAGCGGUAAAAUGCGUUAAUAUCAGCAAGAACACCAAAGGCGAAAGCAAUCUGCUGGAACACUCCUGACACUGAGGGACGAAAGCGUGGGUAGCGAAUCGG
This 253-nucleotide ribosomal RNA is filed under the name uncultured bacterium. Its description in RNAcentral is "partial 16S ribosomal RNA". It matches the Rfam family "Bacterial small subunit ribosomal RNA", at positions 524 to 776 of the family's 1533-position model. The record is from RNAcentral.